This 254-nucleotide ribosomal RNA is filed under the name uncultured bacterium. RNAcentral describes it as "partial 16S ribosomal RNA". It matches the Rfam family "Bacterial small subunit ribosomal RNA", at positions 524 to 776 of the family's 1533-position model. The record is from RNAcentral.
UACGUAGGGUGCAAGCGUUGUCCGGAAUUAUUGGGCGUAAAGAGCUCGUAGGCGGUCUGUCGCGUCGGAUGUGAAAAUCCAGGGCUCAACCCUGGACCUGCAUUCGAUACGGGCAGACUAGAGUUCGGUAGGGGAGACUGGAAUUCCUGGUGUAGCGGUGAAAUGCGCAGAUAUCAGGAGGAACACCGGUGGCGAAGGCGGGUCUCUGGGCCGAAACUGACGCUGAGGAGCGAAAGCGUAGGGGAGCAAACAGG